Non-coding RNA from Chrysemys picta bellii (western painted turtle), 1035 nucleotides. The record is from RefSeq and is a predicted model, not a curated record. Lineage: Eukaryota; Metazoa; Chordata; Testudines; Emydidae.
CCCAAUCACACGGAGCAGUGAAGGCAGGCGCGAGGAGGGGGUGGGAUAGAGUCUCGUGCGGCCAAUCGCGGAGUCUUGCGCGUUGAGAGAGGCCCCGCCCUUACGUCGGAAAGGGCGGAUGCAAGGGAGGGUCACGUGACACUGUCGGAUGGCGUGAGGGCGGUGAAGCCGGAAGUGCCCGUGCAGAGCGUCGCAGGCCUGACCCUGUGGCUCGUUCCUGGAGCUGCUGCUGUUCUCAGUGGGAGUUCUGUACAUGGAACAACUGCAGAACUGGGCCAUCUGACAUAUAGAGUCAAAUUCUACCCUUAAAUUCUGGACAAUCCUGUGUCAGUGAGGAGGCUAUGGCUCUGCUCUUGCUCCCAUCGUAGUCAUGGCGAAAGGGGUACAGAAUUGGGCCUAAAGUGAGGGCACAGUAUGUUUAAAAGGUGCUUGCAGUUAAUUCACAUGUCAUCAGAAAACUCAACCAUUACUGUUCGCCUGGUUCGCUCCUUUGAGCACCGUAAUUUCAGACCUGUGGUGUAUCAUGGAGUUAAUUUGGACCAGACUGUAAAGCAAUUCAUUACAUUUGUAAAGAAUGAUGUGUCUUUAAGAACAGGACUUCCACCUCCCUUUAAAAAAUACAAAUAUGAUACGAUGAAGAUUAUUCACCAAGCACAUGGAUCUAAGACCAAUGAACUUGUAGUGAGUUUGGAGGAUGAUGACAAACUCAUUUUAAAAGAAGACAGCACUUUGAAAGCAGCUGGAGUAGAAGAGGAAGUCCUUGACCUGCUGGGUUGAAAGAAUUGUGACUGCUCUGAACCUUUGUGGGUCCUUUAGCUGUGCCAUAUCCCCUGUGAAUAAUUAGAGCAGAUGAAACUGAAUUAGCGUUCUUCUGUGAAGAAGAUUACAGAAACUACAAAGCUAAUCCGGUUUCGGCCUGGUGACGAUCCAAAGAGACUUGGAUUUUUUUGUUUUCUCAUACCCGUUUAAAACUCUCUUUUUCUGUUUAAUGAGAUUUUUUUUAAAUCAAUAAAUCCUAGAGGAUUGCCUCACAAA